GGCUAAGGAGCUUCCUCCUCUUGUUUCCAUUUCUUGGUUUAUGGUGACAAGAUUCAUGAGGUUUUGGGAAUGAAUUGAUGUGCUAACCUCAGCAUCCACAUUGCGUUCAUGUUUUUUGUUUCCGACGAGAGUAAACGGACGAACUCCGGCGAGUUCAAGGUUCAAUUCUCUGUGAAAUCUCCCACAUUUCACUUCGGUAAGUUCUUGAUCCUUUUUUAAGGGUUGUUAACUUAAAAAUCACGCUUGAAAUCUUUGUUCAAAUGCAUGCAUUUGUUCGGUGCAUUUUUCCAGAAUAUGCGCGAGGAACUCCGGCCAACUUCUUUCAAAUCUGAGGCAAUUGGUCCAAAUUUGAAUUUAGGUAAUCCCCUAGAACUUAAUUCAUGUUUUGAGUUGCUUUUAGACUGUGAAAUCGUUGAAAUCGAGCUCGGGGAGGCCUUGACAAUGUUCUGGCUUAUUCUCUGUAGUUUCGGCGGCCAAUGACGAUCACCGUUAACUUUGACGGCAGGAGCUAAAAUUACGUUAACUCUAACGGAAUCUUCGAACUAUAGAGGUACAUUCCAUUAAUUUUUAUUAACCUCACCACACCGGUGCGUGGCUCUGACGACGCGUCUACUCACCAAAUCGCGAUGUUGAGUACGACGGUACCGCGGCGGUGCAUGGUGGCACGUGGCUGGAGCACAGGGUCGCAUGGCGGCGCGUGAAGUAAACACGAGUAAUGCACUAUUUUUGAAAUUAAACACGGUUGCUGCACUAUUUCUAAAACUAAACAUGAGUAGUUCAUUAUUUCUGAAACUGACUAUUUUUGAAAUUAAACAUGGG
Molecule: long non-coding RNA, 819 nt
Filed under: Malus domestica (apple)
Lineage: Eukaryota; Viridiplantae; Streptophyta; Magnoliopsida; Rosales; Rosaceae
Description: long non-coding RNA (MDOM_LNC012937)
Source: RNAcentral